GACAGAGGCCCCAAGCGUUAGGCGGAAUCACUGGGCUUAAAGCGUGUGUAGGCGGAUGCCUAAGUACCUUGUGAAAUCCCACGGCUCAACCGUGGAACUGCUGGGUAUACUGGUUGUCUUGAGCCAGCUAGGGGCGAGCGGAACAGACGGUGGAGCGGUGAAAUGCGUAGAUAUCGUCUGGAACGCCGAAGGUGAAAACAGCUCGCUGGGGCUGCGCUGACGCUGAGACACGAAAGCCAGGGGAGCGAACGGG
RNAcentral lists this ribosomal RNA (253 nucleotides) under uncultured bacterium. RNAcentral describes it as "partial 16S ribosomal RNA". It matches the Rfam family "Bacterial small subunit ribosomal RNA", at positions 524 to 776 of the family's 1533-position model. The record is from RNAcentral.